This 646-nucleotide ribosomal RNA is filed under the name Lactarius sphagneti. RNAcentral's name for it is "LSU rRNA". It matches the Rfam family "Eukaryotic large subunit ribosomal RNA", at positions 43 to 664 of the family's 3401-position model. The record is from RNAcentral. Lineage: Eukaryota; Fungi; Basidiomycota; Agaricomycetes; Russulales; Russulaceae.
UCAAUAAGCGGAGGAAAAGAAACUAACAAGGAUUCCCCUAGUAACUGCGAGUGAAGCGGGAAAAGCUCAAAUUUAAAAUCUGGCAGCCUUUGGCCGUCCGAGUUGUAAUUUAGAGAAGCGUCUUCCGCGCUGGACCGUGCACAAGUCUCCUGGAAUGGAGCGUCAUAGAGGGUGAGAAUCCCGUCUUUGGCACGGAUGCCUGGUGCUUCUGUGAUGCGCUCUCGAAGAGUCGAGUUGUUUGGGAAUGCAGCUCAAAAUGGGUGGUGAACUCCAUCUAAAGCUAAAUAUUGGCGAGAGACCGAUAGCGAACAAGUACCGUGAGGGAAAGAUGAAAAGCACUUUGGAAAGAGAGUGAAACAGUACGUGAAAUUGUUGAAAGGGAAACGCUUGAAGUCAGUCGCGUCGACUGAGACUCAGCCUUGCCUUGGCUUGGUGUACUUCUCGGCCCGACGGGUCAGCAUCAAUUUUGCCCUUCGGAUAAUGGCAGGGGAAAGGUGGCACCUUUACGGGUGUGUUAUAGUCUCCUGUCGCAUGCGAGGGGUGGGAUUGAGGAACUCAGCGCGCACCUCAGUGUCGGGGCUUCGGCCCACGUCACGCGCUUAGGAUGCUGGCGUAAUGGCUUUAAACGACCCGUCUUGAAACACGG